AAUGCAUACGAGAAGAAGGCUGAGAGGUAUGGGGAUUUUGUUGAGGGCUUCGCUUAGGAUGCAAGCAAACUAUGGGGAUAAGAUCACCAGCACAUGCCUAGGCGAGCUAGAGUACUAAUGGUGAUCGGAUAAGAGCAAUGAGACUGCAGGUCUGGGCGCUAGCUGGAGGAGAGGGCUCCGUUUUAUCCAUUGGGCGUGGAUGGGGGCGAUGGGACGCACGUGUCUGGGUGAUGAAGGCAGGCGUGGCGACGGCGACGCGCGUACAUGGGCGAUGGCGCAGCUCCGUGUUUCCUGGAGAGAAUCCAGGAGAGCGGUUAGAGGUGCGGCUUGGCGUGGCGCGGGCCCUGGCACGACGCGGCACGGAAGGGACGACGCUGGCGCGGGCGUGGGUCCGGCACGAUGCGACGCACGGCGCGAUACAACGCGAUGCGGUUGCGGAGCAGCAAGUGCGGUGCGGCUAGGGUUGGGGUCGGACGUGGCUGAGGGGAAGGAGGCGCGGUUGCGGUGCGGCACGGGCGUGACUGGCGUGGCCGGAAGCGAUGUGGUGCACGCGGUAGACGGGAUCGAACGGUUGGCGGACAGUGAAUAGUGGCAGCUGAGAAAAGAGAGAAAAGGAAGAAAAAGGGAAAGGAAGGAAAGGGAGGGGCUAAUUUGCAAAAGUGAAUGGGAUUGAAUUUGAAUUGAAAUGUAAUCAAUAUAUUUUGGUUUUGAGAAUUCAAAUGUUUGAUUUGAAUAUUUAUUUGGUUAUUCAUUA
Non-coding RNA from Oryza sativa Japonica Group (Japanese rice), 754 nucleotides. NCBI's taxonomy places the organism in Eukaryota, Viridiplantae, Streptophyta, Magnoliopsida, Poales, Poaceae. The record is from RefSeq and is a predicted model, not a curated record.